RNAcentral lists this ribosomal RNA (425 nucleotides) under uncultured bacterium. RNAcentral describes it as "bacterial SSU rRNA". It matches the Rfam family "Bacterial small subunit ribosomal RNA", at positions 354 to 796 of the family's 1533-position model. The record is from RNAcentral.
GUGGGGAAUAUUGGACAAUGGGGGCAACCCUGAUCCAGCAAUGCCGCGUGAGUGAUGAAGGCCUUAGGGUUGUAAAGCUCUUUUGGCAGGGACGAUGAUGACGGUACCUGCAGAAUAAGCCCCGGCUAACUUCGUGCCAGCAGCCGCGGUAAUACGAAGGGGGCUAGCGUUGUUCGGAAUUACUGGGCGUAAAGGGCGCGUAGGCGGCCUGCCAAGUCUGAUGUGAAAUCCCUGGGCUUAACCCGGGAAUGGCACCAGGGACUGGUAGGCUUGAGGACGGGAGAGGAUGGUGGAAUUCCCAGUGUAGAGGUGAAAUUCGUAGAUAUUGGGAAGAACACCGGUGGCGAAGGCGGCCAUCUGGUCCGUUUCUGACGCUGAGGCGCGAAAGCGUGGGGAGCAAACAGGAUUAGAUACCCCGGUAGUCC